GUCCAGCUGAUGAGUUCCAAAUAAGACGAGACGCGAGUCCUGAAC
This is a non-coding RNA of Schistosoma margrebowiei, 45 nucleotides long. The record is from Rfam. Lineage: Eukaryota; Metazoa; Platyhelminthes; Trematoda; Strigeidida; Schistosomatidae.